CUACGGGAGGCUGCAGUGAGGAAUAUUGCACAAUGGGGGGAACCCUGAUGCAGCAACGCCGCGUGGAGGAUGACGCAUUUCGGUGUGUAAACUCCUUUUAUAUGUCAAGAAAAUGACGGUAGCAUAUGAAUAAGCACCGGCUAACUCCGUGCCAGCAGCCGCGGUAAUACGGAGGGUGCAAGCGUUACUCGGAACCACUGGGCGUAAAGGACGCGUAGGCGGGAUAUCAAGUCAGGUGUGAAAUCCUACAGCUUAACUGUAGAACUGCACUUGAAACUGGUAACCUAGAGUAUGGGAGGGGGAGAUGGAAUUAGUGGUGUAGGGGUAAAAUCCGUAGAUAUCACUAGGAAUACCUAAAGCGAAGGCGAUCUCCUGGAACAUAACUGACGCUAAGGCGUGAAAGCGUGGGGAGCAAACAGGAUUAGAUACCCCUGUAGUC
Molecule: ribosomal RNA, 439 nt
Filed under: uncultured bacterium
Lineage: Bacteria
Description: partial 16S ribosomal RNA
Rfam family: Bacterial small subunit ribosomal RNA
Source: RNAcentral